This is a long non-coding RNA of Equus caballus (horse), 1915 nucleotides long. Lineage: Eukaryota; Metazoa; Chordata; Mammalia; Perissodactyla; Equidae. The record is from Ensembl.
GGAUUUCAAGGAAAAUUUUCAGAUUUUUGAGCCUCUGGUUCCUUCCUACCAGUGGACACUUCUUUUAGUGAACUAAAAUAAUGAUUCAGAACAAAUUAAAGCAAGAGAUACGGAGGCAGAAUGAGGGAGCUAAACCAUCAACAUUCCUGCUGCUACCUCUGGAUGGGAGAACACGGCCCCCUCUCAACUCUGAAGCUUGGGAGUUCCCUGGGAGGGCAGGGCUGGGUCUGCAGAGCAUGCGCGCCUCCCCUGCCUACAGCUGGGGCAUCAGGACUUCAGGCCAGUCCUGCUGCUGUGGAGGGACCUGCACAGAGAGCAGCAUUUGGGGUAUGGGACUCCCUUUAGAAUGUGGACCUAAUCCCUGGCCAAGGGGAGUGAGUAAGAGCCAGGCAAGAAGCUUCUGUUGAUCUGCAGGCAGAAGGAGUCUUACAAAAACGGAAUGCGGGUGGAGCUGAGCGCAGUGUUCUUAGGUCCUGAUCCCAGUCAAUCACCUUCACUCAGGAAGAAUGGUGAAAGAUAGAGAGAAGGGUGGGACAUUGUCCUCUACUCUUUCCUCUCCUGGAGAGUGUGGAGAAACUCUCCGCUUUGCCUCUCCUUCUCUAUGGAAAUAUGAGGGCCUUAUAAGCAUUUUUCUCUAAAAAUGCUCAUGGUUGCAGCAAGCAGACAUUCCAGAAACAAAUUUCUGGUGCAGAAAUCAUAUGUAUAAAAGCUUGAUGUGAGAAAAUGUGGGAUGUGUAUGUGCAAGGGGGUGCUCCUUGGUGCUUGAAGCUUGGGGUGCUUGUAAGGAAGUGGGGGAGAAUAAGGCAAGAAAGAUAUUGCCAGAUUCCGGGAGCCUCGAAUUCCAGGCCAGGGAGUUUGACUUUGAUCCUUAGGCACUGCAAAUCCACGCAUCUUAUUGGAAACAUCACUCUAAGCAUCUGUCCCCACCGAGCAGGGAGCUGUGCUGGGUUCCAUCAGACACAGCUGGCCUUAGCCACCCCUCCAUGUUACUUGCUUGUGAGCAAUGCUAGGUGUAUUCCUCUAGGUUUCAGGAUGAGAUCACAUUGCUUGUUUACCUAAAACAGACUGUAGGAAAUCUGCAACCAAAUAUCCUUGAGGUAAAUACAGAAACAACAGAAAAGCAAACAGCAGACGACUGAGAAUGGGAUCCCCUGAUGGAGUUUGGAGGAGGCAGAACACAGAGAGCAGCCUCUGGAGUGCCCAAGCCCCACAGCUCAUCACCCCGCAUCCAUUCUAAGGAUGGGGCAGAGCUGCAGGACAACACUGAGUGAGGGACAGAGACAAGAGACAAACGUGAGCUUUGGACUCACUAACUCAAGUCAGAAACAAUAUUAGGGAAAAAUAAAGGUUGACUCCAUAAAUAGAAGAAUUUAGUUCAGUUAUAGAGAGAACCAUGCCAACAGUUCAAGCAAUUUAAAGGAUGUAAUGAACCAGUGUGAGGACUAGUCCCCCAGUUUCUCCCCAAAAUUGGUAAUAUUAACUCCUUAUACUCAUUCAGCGCAUUGCAAUUUGCAAGCCCUUUCACAUGAUGUUAUCUCUUGGGUCUUCACAAACAGCCUGGGAUCUAAGGAGGGCUAGGGAAGAAGGAGCCCCAUUUGAGGAAACUGAAGCCCAGUUCCAUGACCAGGUCUAGAACCAGGCCAGCUUUCCCUCUGGCUCCACUGUAAUGCCAUAGUUGUGUUGGUGGGGGCUUUCCUUGAGAAAGAUGAUGGAGGCAUUGAUCAAUAGUUUAUCAGUCUGUCCUCCAUAUAGAGGUCUGCAAUAGACAAUGUUACCAUGAGGCUUCAUUCUAUAUGGUACCAUCCAUCCAUACUAUUUCCAAAGUGACUAGGUCUACUUAAUCUAAAGUGGGUAAGUAGAAUGAUAAAUAGAACUGUAUUUACAAGCAAAGAUAGAUAUUGAAAUUAAAACUGGG